This is a long non-coding RNA of Gadus chalcogrammus (walleye pollock), 472 nucleotides long. RefSeq lists it as uncharacterized. NCBI's taxonomy places the organism in Eukaryota, Metazoa, Chordata, Actinopteri, Gadiformes, Gadidae. The transcript is spliced from 3 exons. The record is from RefSeq and is a predicted model, not a curated record.
UGCCUUGAGAAAAUUUGAGGCUAAGCGGGAAGAGUGGACGUCUUCCCGCAAGAAGAACCACAACAUGGCUGUUGUCAAGCAGGAAAUGUUCCUCCUGCUCGAAAAGCUUCAAGCAGCAGGAUAUAAACCUGUCCUGCUGCUUGGAAAAGCCACUAAAAAGAGCCAUGUGGUCAAGGUGUUCACACCUCGUUGCACAUUGGCCACAUUUGCGGAGGAGUCCCUCAAAAAAAUGGGCUCCAUCCAUGAGUACAUUUGUCAAGGAUGGACCCCUUUUGCAAGUGGGACUGCAGAGGGGCCAGAAGAGGGCAGGGGGACCACUCAGGUGAAGACAUACAGGAAUAUCUAUGACAAUUAAAGAGGCUAAUCCUAUAUAUUGUUAUAUACUGCAUAUAUACUCCAAUAUAUUAUGCUACAAAUUACAAUAUACUAAGUCAGCUGUAUAAGUGCUAACCUCUUUUCAUGUUUGUUUAUG